AUGGCUCACUUAGGCAGCAUAUAUACUAAAAUUGGAAUGAUACUGAGAUUAGUGUGGCCCUUGUACAAGGAUGACAAGCAAAUCCAUGAAGCAUUCCAUAUUUCU
Molecule: small nuclear RNA, 105 nt
Organism: Prolemur simus (greater bamboo lemur)
Lineage: Eukaryota; Metazoa; Chordata; Mammalia; Primates; Lemuridae
Source: Ensembl